ACCCCUGCCUGCUAAAUAGUUGGGCGAAUGAAUGUUCAUUGGCUACAGCUUCUUAGAGGGACGUGCGUUCUAUUAGACGCAGGAAGAUAGGGGCAAUAACAGGUCUGUGAUGCCCUUAGAUGUCCUGGGCCGCACGCGCGUUACACUGAUGCACUCAACGAGUCUACCUUGGCCGAGAGGCCUGGGAAAUCUUGUUAACAUGCAUCGUGAUAGGGAUAGAUUAUUGCAAUUAUUAAUCUUGAACGAGGAAUUCCUAGUAAACGCAGAUCAUCAAUCUGCAUUGAUUACGUCCCUGCCCUUUGUACACACCGCCCGUCGCACCUACCGAUUGAAUGGUCCGGUGAAGCCUCGGGAUUGCGAUGAGUUUCCUUCAUUGGGAGUUCGUCGCGAGAACCUGUCUAAACCUUAUCAUUUAGAGGAAGGUGAAGUCGUAACAAGGUUUCC
RNAcentral lists this ribosomal RNA (444 nucleotides) under Fragilariales sp. endosymbiont of Amphistegina lessonii. RNAcentral's name for it is "SSU rRNA". It matches the Rfam family "Eukaryotic small subunit ribosomal RNA", at positions 1340 to 1804 of the family's 1831-position model. The record is from RNAcentral. Lineage: Eukaryota; Bacillariophyta; Fragilariophyceae; Fragilariales.